AUGAAUGCAAGCUGUACAGGUUGGCAAUCCCACUUUCAUUGUGAUACUUGAAGGCAGUAUAAAUUCCAAUUAUUCCAAGUACUAACGCAGCUCCGUGAAGACCAAGGUGUACCAAUUUCUUCACUUCCUUCUUCAGGGGAAGAGAUUUGUAACUUAUAAUAGCUGAAUUCAUUUUCCGAAUGAGAAAAUCAGAGAACAAAUUAGUAGGUCAAUCAAAUGGAAUUGAUUAAUGAAGCAGUUCCUUGUGAAAGUAUUUUGAUUACCUUCACCUCCAUGAACUAUGAGGCCAAAAACUAUAAGAAAUGGAUGAAUCUGUAUAAAGGAAAAAUAUACGUAAGAUAUACUGACUUCCUAAAAGUAAUAGCAGAAUUCAGCAACAAAUACUCCAUACAUCAACCAACUUGUAUAACAAAAUCUUCUACAGACAUUUCUUUGACCUCUUGAUGCAUAAUUCAGAUUCAAAGGAUUAAACAAAUCUAUUUUUGUCUCUUCCAAAGUUAAAAUUCAAAGGAUUCCAUCUCAGAGUAUCAUGAUCUUUUCUAAUUACAGACGCAUGCAAAUGUAAAGGAGCGUACUGAUAAGUAUAUACAUGCAAAUGGCAUACCCAAAUAUUUAAUCAUAGAAGUAAGACACUCCAAAAUUCAAAACUCUUGACCAAGAAAAUAGAGAAGCAGCCACAAAAGUAGCACGUGGCAGCUAAUUUAUUUCUCACUCCAGUCCAAAACAGAUAAGCAUGUAUGCCCAUGUGCUUCCCACAAGUAGAAUUCCGAAUCCACCAAUAUAUUAUUAUAUUAUUAUAAUAUGCUGUCAAGUACUGUGGUGUCAAAGAAAUCUUUUCCUCAAUUAUUAGAUUCAAAAUGAGUAGUAAGUAGAAGACAUGGUCAAUAAUUAAUCAACAAAUACUAAAAUAACAAAUAAUAAUAGAUCUUAAGACCCAAAAAGUUCACUUUUUAGUAUAAAGAAAGUGCAGGUAAAGUUUCCCAAACACACUUGGGUUCCAUUUUUUUUUAUUCACAUAAAUGAGUACGUUUUGAUACUGAAAGAUUACCUCAAUUCAGGCUCUGUUGAACUUGAGAGUUCAACUUUCUUAGUACUUGGAUAUAUUUGCAAUAGUUAUUAAAAAAUAACUUUCUUAAUUCAACCUUAUAAAUCUUAAUUUCCUUAUCCAUAAUGGAUGGAUGUGGGAUGUCGAACAAAACUCAACUUAUAAAUCUUAAUAGUAAAUUUCCAACAAAAACAAUACACAAUACUAAAACUAGAAACUUUGUCAUAAUUAACUGCACAUUCCCUCUCAAAUAAACAUAAGAGAAAAAGCUAAAUUAGGCCAACUUCUUUAGCCAUCAUUUGGUUAGCCAUUAAAACAUAUUUUAGCUUAUUUAAUUUAUGAGAUAACCAAGAGAUCUGGUACUGAAUAUUUUAUUUCCUUUUCUAAGCACAGGAAUCUGGCACUAUGAAUACUUUAAUUAUAAAAAUAAUAUCUGACAUUUAAUUUUAUCACAACUAGCAGCAUCCUCAUACAGAUAUUAUAUGUAUACAUAUCACACGAGGAUCAUAGGCGUAAGAAAAGUCUAAUCAGUAGAAUUAGUUAUAAAUUAAUCAUAUCAAAAGCAGUGUUUGUGAGCUUGAGAUAAAAAUUAAUUUAAUGUAUCAAGCAUUCAAAAUUAAUAUGAAUGUGCUCUAAAAAACAGUACGAACAUAUUGGAUUAACAUUCAUUUAUGAUUAUCAUUCAAACAAACACAAACUGUAGCAUAAAAAAAAACCCCACACAAGCUGUCCUUUCAAUCCAAUUUCUUCUUUGAUUUCAAACUACAUAGCUUUUUUGCUGUUUUUCUUUAUGACAGCUAACUCGAUCAUCUUCUCUCAAGUUUACUAAAUUAAUAAUAUGCUAACUCCAUUUUUUUAGCCGUAGAUAUAUAACGCCCUCUAGGGGCUUCAGGACACAAUAAAUUUGCUUAAUUAUAUUUUCACUAUCCAACAUUUGAAAAAUUGGUUAUUACAUUGAAAGUGUUAAUAUAAUUAAGUUUUAAAUUCAUUGUAAAUUUAGAUAUUUUUAAUUAAGUUAUAUUAGCCCCUUAUUGUGUAUUUAUCUUUGUGUUAAAAUAUUGUAAAGUUGUGUAAUUAAUAUAAGAUAAUAUCCCCUUCAUUUUAAGACUACAAGUGGUUUUUAUGGAUUUUAUAAUAAUCUCUUGUUAUCCACCAUGUUUGUUUUCAAAACAAUAAAAAAAUAUCCAUAUUUUUAUAGUAAGUGUACUAUCUUUCUAUAUUGAUCAUAAGACUUUACAUUUAUCAGUACAUACUCACAAGUAAAUAAAAUGACAGUGAAAAAUUAAAUAACAGAAACUUAAUUAAAUAACAGUGAAAAAUUAAAUAACAGAAACUAAAUUUAAAAAUAUAAUUUAACUACUAAUCAAAUAAAAAAAUAAAAACUCAACUGAAAAUAGUAAUAAUAAUGGGACAAUGGAUGAUUCUUCUCUGAAAACUGCUAGUAAUCUCUUAAAGGAAAACAGUGAAAUAAGUGUGGGUACAUUCAUGUCAAAUAAUUCUGGUUUUAAGCCCCCCUCUUAGUGCCAAAGUUUUACUUUGAAAUUUGAGAAAGUAUUUAUUGUUUAAUUAAGAAGAUGGAAACAUAUUUAUCUAAAUUAAGAACACAAAACAGAUAAGCUUUAAAAGGAUAGAAAUGAUUAUCCUUUGAAAAGGAAUGAAAGACCUAAAAAUGGAGAAAGAGAGGGUAGAAGCAUACAUUGAAGAUGAGUUGCUUGUUGUCUGCAUCCCAAGCCAAGCCUCCCCUGAAAUUGACGACCCAAACCAGUACGAGGAUGGUGGCAACAACACCCAAAACGUGACUCACGAUUGUCAAGGGAAAAGCUGGUACACCUAAUCCCAUCUUCUCUUCUCUUCUCUUUUCUCUGCUUUCUCUUCAAUGGAAGUUC
RNAcentral lists this long non-coding RNA (2931 nucleotides) under Phaseolus vulgaris (common bean). RNAcentral describes it as "long non-coding RNA (PVUL_LNC002028)". The record is from RNAcentral. Lineage: Eukaryota; Viridiplantae; Streptophyta; Magnoliopsida; Fabales; Fabaceae.